AUGCGAGCAAAUAUGGCAACUGAGAGACACGCUGGGAAGAUUUACACAAGAGAUAUGUUCGAGCAGUUUGGCCAUAUACUGUAUGAGUGUGGUGCAUAUCAGGUAGAAGAAAAAGAAAAAGGGAAAGAGUAUAUCGCAAUACAUACAGAUGCUGCACGGCGGGAGAAGUGGUGCAGAACCUCAUACAAGGUGACGGUGAUUGAAGGUGGAGAUGAAUUUGAUUGCGAGUGCGGACAGUUUGCCCACAUGGGGCUGUUGUGCAGCCAUAUACUGAAGGUAAUGGACUUCAUUCGUGUGACAGAAAUCCCAAAGAAGCACAUUGUGAAAAGGUGGACACGAGAUGCGAGAGAUGUGCUUCCAGCCCACCUGAUGCAGUAC
RNAcentral lists this ribosomal RNA (378 nucleotides) under Triticum aestivum (bread wheat). RNAcentral describes it as "partial small subunit ribosomal RNA". The record is from RNAcentral. Lineage: Eukaryota; Viridiplantae; Streptophyta; Magnoliopsida; Poales; Poaceae.